GUCCGUGUCGAACAGCAGUCAGUUCACCGGUUUCUCGAACCGGCUACGCGGGUGCAACUCCCGCCACGGAUA
This 72-nucleotide transfer RNA is filed under the name Deltaproteobacteria bacterium. RNAcentral's name for it is "tRNA-Glu". It matches the Rfam family "tRNA". From Rfam's summary of the family: Transfer RNA (tRNA) molecules are approximately 80 nucleotides in length. Their secondary structure includes four short double-helical elements and three loops (D, anti-codon, and T loops). The record is from RNAcentral. Lineage: Bacteria; Pseudomonadati; Myxococcota; Myxococcia.